This 76-nucleotide transfer RNA is filed under the name Actinomyces bowdenii. Its description in RNAcentral is "tRNA-Lys". It matches the Rfam family "tRNA". From Rfam's summary of the family: Transfer RNA (tRNA) molecules are approximately 80 nucleotides in length. Their secondary structure includes four short double-helical elements and three loops (D, anti-codon, and T loops). The record is from RNAcentral. Lineage: Bacteria; Bacillati; Actinomycetota; Actinomycetes; Actinomycetales; Actinomycetaceae.
GCACCGUUAGCUCAAUUGGUAGAGCAGCUGACUCUUAAUCAGCGGGUUCAGGGUUCGAGUCCCUGGCGGUGUACGA